CAACGCUGGCGGCGUGCCUAAUACAUGCAAGUCGAGCGGAAUGAUGAAGAAGCUUGCUUCUUCUGAUUUUAGCGGCGGACGGGUGAGUAACACGUGGGCAACCUACCUUGUAGAUUGGGAUAACUCCGGGAAACCGGGGCUAAUACCGAAUAAUCCAUUUUGCUUCAUGGCGAGAUGUUGAAAGACGGUUUCGGCUGUCACUACAAGAUGGGCCCGCGGCGCAUUAGCUAGUUGGUAGGGUAAUGGCCUACCAAGGCGACGAUGCGUAGCCGACCUGAGAGGGUGAUCGGCCACACUGGGACUGAGACACGGCCCAGACUCCUACGGGAGGCAGCAGUAGGGAAUCUUCCACAAUGGACGAAAGUCUGAUGGAGCAACGCCGCGUGAGUGAAGAAGGUUUUCGGAUCGUAAAACUCUGUUGUUAGGGAAGAAUACGUACGAGAGUAACUGCUCGUACCUUGACGGUACCUAACCAGAAAGCCACGGCUAACUACGUG
This 497-nucleotide ribosomal RNA is filed under the name uncultured bacterium. RNAcentral describes it as "bacterial SSU rRNA". It matches the Rfam family "Bacterial small subunit ribosomal RNA", at positions 32 to 507 of the family's 1533-position model. The record is from RNAcentral.